AUACGGAGGGUGCAAGCGUUACUCGGAAUCACUGGGCGUAAAGCGCGCGCAGGCGGCCAUUUAAGUUGGAUGUGAAAGCCUACGGCUCAACCGUAGAACUGCAUCCAAAACUAUUUGGCUAGAGUGUGUGAGAGGAAGAUGGAAUUAGUUGUGUAGGGGUAAAAUCCGUAGAGAUAACUAGGAAUACCAAAAGCGAAGGCAAUCUUCUGGAACAUUACUGACGCUGAGGCGCGAAAGCGUGGGGAGCAAACAGCAUUAGAAACCCCAGUAGUCC
This 274-nucleotide ribosomal RNA is filed under the name uncultured bacterium. Its description in RNAcentral is "partial 16S ribosomal RNA". It matches the Rfam family "Bacterial small subunit ribosomal RNA", at positions 523 to 796 of the family's 1533-position model. The record is from RNAcentral.